Molecule: ribosomal RNA, 449 nt
Filed under: uncultured bacterium
Lineage: Bacteria
Description: bacterial SSU rRNA
Rfam family: Bacterial small subunit ribosomal RNA
Source: RNAcentral
GCCAGACUCCUACGGGAGGCAGCGGUGGGGAAUAUUGCACAAUGGGGGGAACCCUGAUGCAGCGACGCCGCGUGAGUGAAGAAGUAUUUCGGUAUGUAAAGCUCUGUCAGCAGGGAAGAAGAAAGACGGUACCUGACCAAGAAGCCCCGGCUAACUACGUGCCAGCAGCCGCGGUAAUACGUAGGGGGCAAGCGUUAUCCGGAUUUACUGGGUGUAAAGGGAGCGUAGACGGCAUGGCAAGUCAGAUGUGAAAGCCCGGGGCUCAACCCCGGGACUGCUCUGGAAACUGUGCAGCUAGAGUGCAGGAGAGGCAGGCGGAAUUCCUAGUGUAGCGGUGAAAUGCGUAGAUAUUAGGAAGAACACCAGUGGCGAAGGCGGCUUUCUGGACUGAAACUGACGCUGAGGCACGAAAGCGUGGGGAGCGAACAGGAUUAGAUACCCGAGUACUC